Molecule: ribosomal RNA, 378 nt
Filed under: uncultured bacterium
Lineage: Bacteria
Description: bacterial SSU rRNA
Rfam family: Bacterial small subunit ribosomal RNA
Source: RNAcentral
UAAUACGUAGGGUGCGAGCGUUGUCCGGAAUUACUGGGCGUAAAGAGUUCGUAGGCGGUUUGUCGCGUCGUGUGUGAAAUCCCGCAGCUCAACUGCGGGCUUGCAGGCGAUACGGGCAGACUUGAGUACUGCAGGGGAGACUGGAAUUCCUGGUGUAGCGGUGAAAUGCGCAGAUAUCAGGAGGAACACCGGUGGCGAAGGCGGGUCUCUGGGCAGUAACUGACGCUGAGGAACGAAAGCGUGGGUAGCGAACAGGAUUAGAUACCCUGGUAGUCCACGCCGUAAACGGUGGGCGCUAGGUGUGGGUUUCCUUCCACGGGAUCCGUGCCGUAGCUAACGCAUUAAGCGCCCCGCCUGGGGAGUACGGCCGCAAGGCUA